RNAcentral lists this transfer RNA (77 nucleotides) under Alphaproteobacteria bacterium. RNAcentral's name for it is "tRNA-Pro". It matches the Rfam family "tRNA". From Rfam's summary of the family: Transfer RNA (tRNA) molecules are approximately 80 nucleotides in length. Their secondary structure includes four short double-helical elements and three loops (D, anti-codon, and T loops). The record is from RNAcentral. Lineage: Bacteria; Pseudomonadati; Pseudomonadota; Alphaproteobacteria.
CGGAGUGUAGCUCAGCCUGGUAGAGCACCACGUUCGGGACGUGGGGGCCGGAGGUUCAAAUCCUCUCACUCCGACCA